This 497-nucleotide ribosomal RNA is filed under the name uncultured bacterium. RNAcentral's name for it is "partial 16S ribosomal RNA". It matches the Rfam family "Bacterial small subunit ribosomal RNA", at positions 29 to 507 of the family's 1533-position model. The record is from RNAcentral.
ACGAACGCUGGCGGCGUGCCUAAUACAUGCAAGUCGAGCGGACGAAUCGAAAGCUUGCUUUUGAUUCGUUAGCGGCGGACGGGUGAGUAACACGUGGGCAACCUGCCCUGUAGACGGGGAUAACACCGAGAAAUCGGUGCUAAUACCGGAUAACACGAAAUGUCGCAUGACGUUUCGUUGAAAGACGGCGCAAGCUGCCGCUACAGGAUGGGCCCGCGGCGCAUUAGCUAGUUGGUGAGGUAACGGCUCACCAAGGCGACGAUACGUAGCCGACCUGAGAGGGUGAUCGGCCACACUGGGACUGAGACACGGCCCAGACUCCUACGGGAGGCAGCAGUAGGGAAUCUUCCGCAAUGGACGAAAGACUGACGGAGCAACGCCGCGUGAGCGAAGAAGGCCUUCGGGUCGUAAAGCUCUGUUGUUAGGGAAGAACAAGUAACGCAGUAACUGGCGUUACCGUGACGGUACCUAACGAGAAAGCCACGGCUAACUACGUG